CAAUAGCGUAUACUAAAGUUGUUGCGAUUAAAAAGCUCGUAGUUGGAUCUCAGGCAUGGGCGCACGGUCCGCCUCGCGGCGGUAACUGUGUGUUUUGUUUCCCAUCCUACGCUUCCCGGUUAUCAGCCCAUGGUGCUCUUCACUGAGCGUUUUGGGUGGCCGGAACGUUUACUUUGAAGAAAUUAGAGUGUUCAAAGCAGGCACGUUGCCUGAAUAAUGGUGCAUGGAAUAAUGGAAUAGGACCUCGGUUCUAUUUUGCUGGUUUUCGGAACACGAGGUAAUGAUUAAGAGGGACAGACGGGGGCAUCCGUAUUGCGGUGUUAGAGGUGAAAUUCUUGGAUCAUCGCAAGACGAACAACUGCGAAAGCAUUUGCCAAGCAUGUUUUCAUUAG
This 392-nucleotide ribosomal RNA is filed under the name uncultured eukaryote. RNAcentral describes it as "partial 18S ribosomal RNA". It matches the Rfam family "Eukaryotic small subunit ribosomal RNA", at positions 592 to 976 of the family's 1831-position model. The record is from RNAcentral.